This 1524-nucleotide ribosomal RNA is filed under the name Enterococcus faecium. Its description in RNAcentral is "bacterial LSU rRNA". It matches the Rfam family "Bacterial large subunit ribosomal RNA", at positions 1 to 1519 of the family's 2925-position model. Lineage: Bacteria; Bacillati; Bacillota; Bacilli; Lactobacillales; Enterococcaceae. The record is from RNAcentral.
GUUGAUAAGGUUAAGUGAAUAAGGGCGCACGGUGGAUGCCUUGGCACUAGGAGCCGAUGAAGGACGGGACUAACACCGAUAUGCUUUGGGGAGCUGUACGUAAGCUAUGAUCCAGAGAUUUCCGAAUGGGGGAACCCAACAUCUUUAAUAGGAUGUUACGAUUGUGUGAAUACAUAGCACAUUCGAGGUAGACGCAGAGAACUGAAACAUCUAAGUACCUGCAGGAAGAGAAAGAAAAUUCGAUUCCCUGAGUAGCGGCGAGCGAAACGGGAAAAGCCCAAACCAGCAAGCUUGCUUGUUGGGGUUGUAGGACUCCAAUAUGGUAGUUCUUUCAGAUAGUCGAAUGACUUGGAAAAGUCAGUCAAAGAGGGUAAAAACCCCGUAGACGAAAUGUGGAAGACACCUAGGAGGAUCCUGAGUACGGCGGAACACGAGAAAUUCCGUCGGAAUCCGGGAGGACCAUCUCCCAAGGCUAAAUACUCCCUAGUGACCGAUAGUGAACCAGUACCGUGAGGGAAAGGUGAAAAGCACCCCGGAAGGGGAGUGAAAUAGAACCUGAAACCGUGUGCCUACAACAAGUCAAAGCCCGUUAAUGGGUGAUGGCGUGCCUUUUGUAGAAUGAACCGGCGAGUUACGAUUGCAUGCGAGGUUAAGUUGAAGAGACGGAGCCGCAGCGAAAGCGAGUCUGAAUAGGGCGUUUGAGUAUGUAGUCGUAGACCCGAAACCAUGUGAUCUACCCAUGUCCAGGUUGAAGGUGCGGUAAAACGCACUGGAGGACCGAACCCACGUACGUUGAAAAGUGCGGGGAUGAGGUGUGGGUAGCGGAGAAAUUCCAAACGAACUUGGAGAUAGCUGGUUCUCUCCGAAAUAGCUUUAGGGCUAGCCUCGGAAUUGAGAAUGAUGGAGGUAGAGCACUGUUUGGACUAGGGGCCCAUCUCGGGUUACCGAAUUCAGAUAAACUCCGAAUGCCAUUCAUUCAUAUCCGGGAGUCAGACUGUGAGUGAUAAGAUCCAUAGUCGAAAGGGAAACAGCCCAGACCACCAGCUAAGGUCCCAAAAUAUAUGUUAAGUGGAAAAGGAUGUGGGGUUGCACAGACAACUAGGAUGUUGGCUUAGAAGCAGCCACCAUUUAAAGAGUGCGUAAUAGCUCACUAGUCGAGUGACCCUGCGCCGAAAAUGUACCGGGGCUAAACAUAUUACCGAAGCUGUGGAGUACACCUUUAGGUGUAUUGGUAGGAGAGCGUUCUAAGGGCGUCGAAGGCAGAUCGUGAGGACUGCUGGAGCGCUUAGAAGUGAGAAUGCCGGUAUGAGUAGCGAAAGACAGGUGAGAAUCCUGUCCACCGAAUGACUAAGGUUUCCUGGGGAAGGCUCGUCCGCCCAGGGUUAGUCGGGACCUAAGCCGAGGCCGACAGGCGUAGGCGAUGGAUAACAGGUUGAUAUUCCUGUACCCGUUGUUUUUGUUUGAGCAAUGGAGGGACGCAGGAGGCUAAGGAAUGCAGACGAUCGGAAAUGUCUGUCCAAGCAG